AAGGUGUAGCAGAAUAUCGCUCAUCAUGAGAGGAAAGUCCGAGCUACAUUGAGAUGGGGUUCUAUCUAACAGAUAGCUAUCGCAAGAUAAGGGAAAGUGCCACAGAGAAUAGACUGCUCGAACGAGUGAUGGUGAAACGGCGGUGUAAGAGACCACCAAGUCUGUGGCAACACAGAUUGUAUGGUAAACCCAACCCGUAGCAAGAAGGCUUUGGUAACAAUCUCAAAUCUUUAAGUGCCUUCGCAAGAGCGUUAUUGUGAAAUAAUCGCCUAGACAAAUGAUAUUCAAAUACAGAACUCGGCUUAUAGCUGCACCUUAUGC
Molecule: RNase P RNA, 321 nt
Filed under: Helicobacter sp.
Lineage: Bacteria; Pseudomonadati; Campylobacterota; Epsilonproteobacteria; Campylobacterales; Helicobacteraceae
Description: RNase P RNA component class A
Rfam family: Bacterial RNase P class A
About the family: Ribonuclease P (RNase P) is a ubiquitous endoribonuclease, found in archaea, bacteria and eukarya as well as chloroplasts and mitochondria. Its best characterised activity is the generation of mature 5'-ends of tRNAs by cleaving the 5'-leader elements of precursor-tRNAs.
Source: RNAcentral